UACGUAGGGUGCGAGCGUUGUCCGGAAUUAUUGGGCGUAAAGAGCUCGUAGGCGGUGUGUCGCGUCGGCCGUGAAAACCUGGGGCUCAACUCUGGGCGUGCGGUCGAUACGGGCAUCACUUGAGUUCGGCAGGGGAGACUGGAAUUCCGGUGUAGCGGUGAAAUGACGCAGAUAUCAGGAGGAACACCGGUGGCGAAGGCGGAUCUCUGGGCCGAUACUGACGCUGAGGAGCGAAAGCGUGGGGAGCGAACAGG
Molecule: ribosomal RNA, 254 nt
Filed under: uncultured bacterium
Lineage: Bacteria
Description: partial 16S ribosomal RNA
Rfam family: Bacterial small subunit ribosomal RNA
Source: RNAcentral